UGGUGGAUUGAUUUGUCUGGUUAAUUCCGUUAACGAACGAGACCCCCGCCUGCUAAAUAGGUACAUGAAUGAUUUUUCAUUCAUGAGAUCUUCUUAGAGGGACUUUUGUUUGACUAAACAAAGGAAGUUGGGGGCGAAUAACA
RNAcentral lists this ribosomal RNA (143 nucleotides) under uncultured eukaryote. RNAcentral's name for it is "partial 18S ribosomal RNA". It matches the Rfam family "Eukaryotic small subunit ribosomal RNA", at positions 1299 to 1453 of the family's 1831-position model. The record is from RNAcentral.